CCAAAACAUAAUAGGGAUAGGAGAAAUCCAAGGAUCAUUAUAAACAUUAAUCAAUUCACCUGAUCCAACAAGCCAUUGAAAUUGAAACCUUAUAUAAGUCCCAACCUCUAAAAUUUUUCAUCAAAUAAUAGAAGUUAUUCUUCUACAAUUAUAAUUAUUCCAGGAUCUAUGAAAAUUAUAUUUAGCCCUAACAAGUUGAGCCCAA
This 205-nucleotide long non-coding RNA is filed under the name Elaeis guineensis (African oil palm). RNAcentral describes it as "long non-coding RNA (EGUI_LNC033960)". Lineage: Eukaryota; Viridiplantae; Streptophyta; Magnoliopsida; Arecales; Arecaceae. The record is from RNAcentral.